AAACACAGUCCCGUUAGAACGACAAACUCGCUGCCCCCUCUUCCGCGCCUACAAGCAGAGUAGACAAGUUCAGUUCCUGUAAAGAUCUUCAUCAUCAGAGCCGUAAGAGAGAGGUGAGGUGAGGCAAGGCAGCAGGAUGGUGGUGGUGUGUCCCAGGAUCCUGCCUGGGUGUAGGCUCUCCCAGAUCACCAGACUCUUGUCCACCAAGGCAGCCUCCGUCAAUGGCACUAAGGUUGAAGUGCUUGGCAGGGAAUACACCGGUGACCACAUGACCAAUGUCACACCUCACUUGUUGUCUCACAUUGGCCGGGACCUGCACCUGCAGCCCCACCACCCCUUGAGGCAUGUGGCCCAGCGCGUCACUCAGCACAUGUACCGCCAGUACCUGUCGCCGCGCGGCAACCCGCUCUUCUCGGUGCACAGUCAGCUGCACCCUGUGGUCACAACUCACCAGAAUUUUGACUCUUUGCUCAUCCCCAAAGACCAUGUCAGCAGGAAGAAGUCAGACAACUUUUACAUCAAUGAAACUCACCUUCUUCGAGCCCAUACCAGUGCACACCAGAGUGAGCUGAUUAGCAUGGGGUUUGACAACUUCCUGGUGAUUGGAGACGUGUACCGCCGUGAUGACAUUGACGCCUCACACUACCCUGUGUUCCACCAGCUGGAGGGUGUCAGACUCUGCACACUGAAGGAGCUUUACGGGACACAUCAGAACAUGGAUGCCUACCACUUGUUUGAGAAUGGAGAGCGCACCGAAGACCACCAGGGAGUGCACAGUGCAGAGGCUGCCCGCAGGAUGGAGGCAGAGCUGAAAGGAUGUCUACUGGGCCUGGCCACCUCUCUGUUCGGCCAAGACACUGAGGUGCGAUGGGUGGACGCUUACUUCCCCUUUACUCACCCGUCUUGGGAGCUGGAGGUGCAGAUUAACGGGGAAUGGGUGGAGCUGCUCGGCUGUGGCAUCAUGGAGCAGGAGAUCCUUGCCAAUGCUGGAGUGCAGGACAAAAUAGGUUGGGCCUUUGGAUUGGGCCUGGAGCGCUGGGCCAUGAAGCUGUAUGGCAUCCCAGACAUCAGGCUCUUCUGGUCCACUGACUUGGGCUUCCUGUCCCAGUUCCGGUUUGAUGACCCGGCCACUCCGGUCACAUACAAGGCGGUGAGCAAAUACAACCCAUGCAUCAAUGACAUCAGCUUCUGGCUCCCCAAGGAUCAGCAGUAUGAGUCAGCAGACUUCUAUGAUCUUGUACGCUCAGUUGGCGGCAGUCUGGUGGAGCAGGUCAAUUUGGUGGACAGCUUCACCCAUCCCAAGAAGCAGCUCACCUCCCACUGCUACCGCAUCGUGUACCGACACAUGGAGCGAGUGUUGACGCAGGAGGAAGUCAAUGACGUGCACAGGAAGAUUGAACAAGAGGCGGCCUCCAGUUUACAGGUUUCCAUCCGGUGAGAGUCAGCCUGCCAUUAUGCUGUCCUGCCAUCCUGCUGUCCUGUCAUCCUGCAUGGCUCCUUAAAUUACGCCUAUAGUGUGUCGAGGAGGAAGAGAGCAGAUGACGGAGCCGAUGUCAUCUCAAUAGGUCCUGCUCUCGCCUGUUCUUGCCACCACAGAGCAGGUGUUCUUCCACUCGGACGUGCCAGUGCUCUGCGAGACGCGACGGAUACUGCAGGAUGAGAUCACGCCCUUGACUGCUGGCUCCUGGUCCCUGUCCACUCAUGAACACAAGCACUGACAUCCUGCAUUCCUCGCUCAUUUAGUGUCUUGGCGGAAAUUGAGAUCUGUACUUGUCAUUACAAUGUGGUGUUUCUAAUGUAAGACGGGUAAAGGCAAGGGAAACAAAAAUUUACAUAUAAAAAAAUCCCACCGAGGCGCCACUCCCUGAAAAAAAGUGAUUAUCUAAAAUUGGAAGAUAAGUGUCUUGAAAUCUCCCUCUUGAACGAGUGUGUCAUAGGAAGUCUGCAAUAUCUGGUUGAUGUGCUGCUAUAAGCUAUAGUACUGUUAUCUCCCUCCAGAAAUUCAUACUGGAUAUGUAUUGCUUCCUGACUCCAGACGUGUGUGUGUGUGUGUGUGUGUGUGUGUGUGUGUGUUACAAGUGCCCCAGUGUGAAAGGAAUAAAAAGGCAGACGUGUUUGGGAGUCUUAAACUAAAGAGAGAUGGUAAGGCGGGGCACAGGACACGUAUCGUAAUUGUGGAUAUUGUUUUUAGAUUGUGAUUUUCAAUGGGCCCUUUUUUUCAGUGUCUUUUGUUGUCCUUGCCCAGAAUCACUCGUAUAAUUACAUGAAAAGGGUACGCUAAGAAUACGUGUGAGGUGCAGUUUUGUACUGACGAUGCUAGGACACAGGUGAGGUUUUUUUUGAUGUUUUUGAUGCAAUGAAGGCGUCUGAGGCACUUAAGAGAACAUAUUUUGUAUUGACGGUGCUAGGACACGAAUAAAAAUUUUGUCUCUUUUUCUAGAUGCAGUGAAUGAGCAUGGAACACCUAGAAUACCAUAUACUGUAUUACUGAUGGUGCUGGAACAAGAGAGAAAUUUUACGAGAUCCACUCUGCUGGAAAGGAGGUGCUGUGCCGUCCUGUCCUGUGCUGUUGCUGUGCUGCGCUGUACUGUGCUGUCCCUGGGGUGGAGUAAACGGGCUGCAUUGGAAGACUGGCUUUGUGCUACAUGGAG
RNA transcript from Scylla paramamosain (green mud crab), 2651 nucleotides. It is a transcript of the gene named phenylalanine--tRNA ligase, mitochondrial-like, with no coding region annotated. The transcript has 9 exons. The record is from RefSeq and is a predicted model, not a curated record. NCBI's taxonomy places the organism in Eukaryota, Metazoa, Arthropoda, Malacostraca, Decapoda, Portunidae.